Molecule: long non-coding RNA, 1676 nt
Organism: Mauremys mutica (yellowpond turtle)
Lineage: Eukaryota; Metazoa; Chordata; Testudines; Geoemydidae
Exons: 5
Source: RefSeq, a predicted model, not a curated record
CCCCACCCGGGCACUCCUCCCAGCGGCCUCCCCAACGGGCUAUAAAAGCCCGCAGCCAGAUGCAGGGCAGCUUUCCUGCACCCUGGGCUUGCAAAGGUGACCUCAGGGACAGAAAUGCAGCUGCCAUAAACAUUUCGAGGGUCCAGCAACAGUCUUUAAAAAAAAAAUAGGGGAAGCGGUGAGAAAAUGAUCGAGCUGAAACUAGAAGGGACGCUGGAGACGCAGAAGGUAAUUAGCUGAUCUGGGAUUUGGCUGGGACUCAAGGCGCAAGGAGCGAUUGAAAAUGUUGGGUGUAUUUUGCUGAAUGUGCCUCGCCAGCCAAGCCAGCUGUCAGCACGAAGGUGCUUUCCAGACCAGGACACAUAUACUUCCCCCUCUAUGGGGAGAUUUGCAGUGACACAGUGCAGGUUUGUUUUCUGUUAGCGCAAGCAGAGAGGCGGGAAGCAAAAGAGACAGCUGCUCCAAAGAGACGGACAAACUGACUGUUCCUGACAAGGACGCUGCAAUCUGGCUAACUAGAGACCAGACGCAUGCAUAAUCCUCCGGAAAAUUCAUCUCGGUAAGAGGGCCUUGAAGGGGUAAUUAAAAUCCACCGAGUGGAGGCUGCACCUGUUUAGAAGGGAGUGUGCUGCCUGGAAGCGCAGCUGGGGAUCUCUCCAGGAAAAGCCAACCGCUUCCAAGACAGCUUGCGGCUACGCUCCUCGAGCCCCAUUCUCUCUGACUGGGCUGGCUCCAGCGUGCUCGCAGCCCAGUUGAGAUCCUGUCUGUAUCUGCGGCAAGUUUCAAGGGAAGCUAUGGUGGACUCCAGCACCGCUGCUUGCAACAGGUGCAACCUGUAGAGAGACAAUCAAUUCCUAAAUUAGUAUUUACUUACUGCACUCUGAUUGGCUGAUGCUCACUGUCCCCUGAGCCAAUCACAUAAGCAUAUCAGGGUUUAUUUCCCCUAUUGAAUUCUGAAGACGCUGGUUUCUGACCGCUGGCAACUUGACCCUUUUUUCCUAAACAUGUGCAUGAAUUCAGCAAUCUGAUUGGCCGGCACUGAAUCCACUGGGGAUCGAAUGAAGGUGGGAUUUCUGAUUGGUUCCCAGUCUCUGACUUGAAGGGGGAUUCCCCUGCCUCUGGUGGGGCUUCCCCGCCUUCUUUGAGUCCCAGUCACGGAUCUGUUUUAUCUUCAGGUGUUAGGUCUAGCGCUGUGCAGGGCGGAAUUUCCCCAAGUGGCACCAACCAAUCAACCAAAACAAAAUCUUCCAGGGGCUCAGUUACCCUAGGUCAGUAUUUGUCGGCUUGGCGACCCCCUUAUAUGAAGUCAAAAAUGUUCAUGACCCCCUGACAUUUACUGGAAAAGUAACAUUAAAAUAUCCCCCCUUCUCAUCUCCCCCCACCCCCAGCCAGCUGAAAAGCACCGCCCUGAAGUUUGAGAGCGUCUUCGAAGAGUUUUCUCAUCCCCUCUUCAAGUCACUUGGCUUGAAAGCGAGGCACAAGCCUAACACACACAUGGGUGUAGGGUCUUGUCCUUAUUCUGUCAAACACUCAUUGAUUUAAAAGGGAAUUUGUGUUUUAAAAAAAAAGGGGGGGGCAGAUUCUGAUGAUCUUAUGCUGAAUGGCUAUUAGCCAGGAUGGGCAGGGACGGUGUCCCUAGCCUCUGUUUGCCAGAAGCUGGAAAUGAACAACAGGGG